RNAcentral lists this unclassified non-coding RNA (430 nucleotides) under soil metagenome. RNAcentral describes it as "partial contains 5.8S ribosomal RNA, internal transcribed spacer 2, and large subunit ribosomal RNA". The stretch from base 1 to 120 matches the Rfam family "5.8S ribosomal RNA", at positions 35 to 154 of the family's 154-position model. The record is from RNAcentral.
GAUGAAGAACGUAGCGAAAUGCGAUACGUAAUGUGAAUUGCAGAAUUCAGUGAAUCAUCGAAUCUUUGAACGCAUAUUGCGCUCUCUGGUAUUCCGGAGAGCAUGCUUGUUUGAGUAUCAGUAAACACCUCAACUCCCUUUUCUUUUUUGAAAUUGGAGCUGGACUUGAGUGAUCCCAACGCUUUCUUCCAAGAAAGUGGCGGGUUGCUUGAAAUGCAGGUGCAGCUGAACUUUUCUCUGAGCUAUAAGCAUAUCUAUUUAGUCUGCCUAAAAAACAGAUUAUUACCUUUGCUGCAGCUAACAUAAAGGAGACUAGUUCUUGUGCUGACUGAUGCAGGAUUCACAGAGACAGCUUCGGCUGACUUUGUAAACUCGUUCUCAAAUCAAGUAAGACUACCCGCUGAACUUAAGCAUAUCAAUAAGCGGAGGA